This 22-nucleotide microRNA is filed under the name Bos taurus (domestic cattle). RNAcentral describes it as "bta-miR-2448-5p". The record is from miRBase by way of RNAcentral. Lineage: Eukaryota; Metazoa; Chordata; Mammalia; Artiodactyla; Bovidae.
CUGCGGAUACAACCAAACACGG